This 433-nucleotide ribosomal RNA is filed under the name uncultured bacterium. Its description in RNAcentral is "partial 16S ribosomal RNA". It matches the Rfam family "Bacterial small subunit ribosomal RNA", at positions 29 to 507 of the family's 1533-position model. The record is from RNAcentral.
AACGAACGCUGGCGGCAUGCCUAACACAUGCAAGUCGAACGAGACCUUCGGGUCUAGUGGCGCACGGGUGCGUAACGCGUGGGAACCUGCCCUUAGGUUCGGAAUAACUCCCCGAAAGGGGUGCUAAUACCGGAUAAUGUCUUCGGACCAAAGAUUUAUCGCCUUUGGAUGGGCCCGCGUUGGAUUAGCUAGUUGGUAGGGUAAAAGCCUACCAAGGCGACGAUCCAUAGCUGGUCUGAGAGGAUGAUCAGCCACACUGGGACUGAGACACGGCCCAGACCCCUCGGGGAGGCAGCAGGGGGAAAUAUUGAACAAGGGGGAAAGGCCGAAUCCAGCAUUGCCGCGUGAGUAAUAAAGGCGUUAGGGUUGAAAAGCUUUUUUACCCGGGAUGAUAAUGACGGUCCCGGGAAAAAAGGCCCCGGCUAACCCCGUG